RNAcentral lists this ribosomal RNA (588 nucleotides) under Brevibacillus sp. PCAM33. Its description in RNAcentral is "bacterial SSU rRNA". It matches the Rfam family "Bacterial small subunit ribosomal RNA", at positions 170 to 744 of the family's 1533-position model. The record is from RNAcentral. Lineage: Bacteria; Bacillati; Bacillota; Bacilli; Caryophanales; Paenibacillaceae.
CGGAUAGGGUUUUGGAUCGCAUGAUCCGAAACGGAAAGAUGGCGCAAGCUAUUACUUACAGAUGGGCCUGCGGCGCAUUAGCUAGUUGGUGGGGUAACGGCCUACCAAGGCGACGAUGCGUAGCCGACCUGAGAGGGUGACCGGCCACACUGGGACUGAGACACGGCCCAGACUCCUACGGGAGGCAGCAGUAGGGAAUUUUCCACAAUGGACGAAAGUCUGAUGGAGCAACGCCGCGUGAACGAUGAAGGCUCUCGGGUCGUAAAGUUCUGUUGUUAGGGACGAACAAGUGCCGUUCGAACAGGGCGGCACCUUGACGGUACCUAACGNNAAAGCCACGGCUAACUACGUGCCAGCAGCCGCGGUAAUACGUAGGUGGCAAGCGUUGUCCGGAAUUAUUGGGCGUAAAGCGCGCGCAGGCGGUUAUGUAAGUCUGAUGUUAAAGCCCGGGGCUCAACCUCGGUCCGCAUUGGAAACUGCGUAACUUGAGUGCAGAAGAGGAAAGUGGUAUUCCACGUGUAGCGGNGANNUGCGUAGAGAUGUGGAGGAACACCAGUGGCGAAGGCGACUUUCUGGUCUGUAACUGAC